This 253-nucleotide ribosomal RNA is filed under the name uncultured bacterium. RNAcentral describes it as "partial 16S ribosomal RNA". It matches the Rfam family "Bacterial small subunit ribosomal RNA", at positions 524 to 776 of the family's 1533-position model. The record is from RNAcentral.
UACGUAGGGGGCAAGCGUUGUCCGGAUUUAUUGGGCGUAAAGAGCGUGUAGGCGGCCAGAUAGGUCGGUUGUGAAAACUGGAGGCUUAACCUUCAGACGUCGAUCGAAACCAUCUGGCUAGAGUCCGGAAGAGGAGAAUGGAAUUCCUGGUGUAGCGGUGAAAUGCGCAGAUAUCAGGAAGAACACCCGUGGCGAAGGCGGUUCUCUGGGACGGUACUGACGCUGAGGUGCGAAAGCGUGGGGAGCAAACAGG